UAGUCCACGCCCUAAACGAUGCACAUUUGGUAUCGGCUUGUUGGAGUCGGUGCCGGAGCAAACGCGUUAAAUGUGCCGCCUGGGAAGUACGGCCGCAAGAUUAAAACUCAAAGGAAUAGACGGGAUCCACACAAGCAGUGGAGCAUCUGGUUUAAUUCGAUAAUAAGCGGGGAACCUUACCGGGGCUUGACAUCCUCAGAACUCUCUAGAAAUAGAGCGGUGCCCUUCGGGGAACUGAGUGACAGGUGCUGCAUGGUUGUCGUCAGCUCGUGCUUUGAAGUGUUCGGUUAAGUCCGUUAACGAGCGCAACCCUCAUCGUAUGUUGUUCUUUUCAUGCGAGACUGCCAGGUUUAACCUGGAGGAAGGUGAGGACGACGUCAAAUCAGCAUGGGCCCUUAUGUCCCGGGGCGACACAGGUGCUACAAUGGGGAAGGACAAUGGGGUAGCCAAGCCGCAAGGCGGAGCCAAUCCCACAAACCUUUUCNCAGUUCGGAUUGUGGUCUGCAACUCGACCAU
RNAcentral lists this ribosomal RNA (516 nucleotides) under uncultured bacterium. RNAcentral's name for it is "bacterial SSU rRNA". It matches the Rfam family "Bacterial small subunit ribosomal RNA", at positions 791 to 1319 of the family's 1533-position model. The record is from RNAcentral.